ACGGACUCGACCUCUCUUAACCUCCUAUGAAUCUCGCGCAAUCCUGCGGGUUGUCCACGCCCUCACGUUCGAAUCCACGAACGCCUCGCACACGUCCGAAUCCACGAACGCCUUGCACACGUCCGAAUCCACGAACGCUACUCGAAUCCACGAGCACACGAUCCGAAUCAACGAACCGCCUUCGAUCACGCCGAAUCCACAACGCCGUCCAUGAAGUACAUCGU
Molecule: long non-coding RNA, 224 nt
Filed under: Ananas comosus (pineapple)
Lineage: Eukaryota; Viridiplantae; Streptophyta; Magnoliopsida; Poales; Bromeliaceae
Description: long non-coding RNA (ACOM_LNC028172)
Source: RNAcentral